AGUCGAGCGAGUCUGCCUUGAAGAUCGGAGUGCUUGCACUCUGUGAAACAAGAUACAGGCUAGCGGCGGACGGGUGAGUAACACGUGGGUAACCUGCCUAAGAGAUCGGGAUAACACCUGGAAACAGAUGCUAAUACCGGAUAACAACAGAUGAUGCCUAUCAACUGUUUAAAAGAUGGUUCUGCUAUCACUCUUGGAUGGACCUGCGGUGCAUUAGCUAGUUGGUAGGGUAACGGCCUACCAAGGCGAUGAUGCAUAGCCGAGUUGAGAGACUGAUCGGCCACAUUGGGACUGAGACACGGCCCAAACUUCUACGGGAGGCAGCAGUAGGGAAUCUUCCACAAUGGACGCAAGUCUGAUGGAGCAACGCCGCGUGAGUGAAGAAGGGUUUCGGCUCGUAAAGCUCUGUUGUUGGUGAAGAAGGACAGGGGUAGUAACUGACCUUUGUUUGACGGUAAUCAAUUAGAAAGUCACGGCUAACUACGUGCCAGCAGCCGCGGUAAUACGUAGGUGGCAAGCGUUGUCCGGAUUUAUUGGGCGUAAAGCGAGUGCAGGCGGCUCGAUAAGUCUGAUGUGAAAGCCUUCGGCUCAACCGGAGAAUUGCAUCAGAAACUGUCGAGCUUGAGUACAGAAGAGGAGAGUGGAACUCCAUGUGUAGCGGUGAAAUGCGUAGAUAUAUGGAAGAACACCGGUGGCGAAGGCGGCUCUCUGGUCUGUUACUGACGCUGAGGCUCGAAAGCAUGGGUAGCGAACAGGAUUAGAUACCCUGGUAGUCCAUGCCGUANACGAUGAGUGCUAAGUGUUGGGAGGUUUCCGCCUCUCAGUGCUGCAGCUAACGCAUUAAGCACUCCGC
RNAcentral lists this ribosomal RNA (853 nucleotides) under uncultured bacterium. RNAcentral describes it as "bacterial SSU rRNA". It matches the Rfam family "Bacterial small subunit ribosomal RNA", at positions 60 to 872 of the family's 1533-position model. The record is from RNAcentral.